Non-coding RNA from Procambarus clarkii (red swamp crayfish), 3674 nucleotides. Lineage: Eukaryota; Metazoa; Arthropoda; Malacostraca; Decapoda; Cambaridae. The record is from RefSeq and is a predicted model, not a curated record.
GGUACUCGGCCGCGCCCGCUCGCGUUCCACACGCGCUCCACGCGAAAACGCUCCCUAGGCUACUUUCCUCACGCUCCCUACGCUUGUACAUGCUCCAUAAGGCUGAUUGAUCGAGUGCAGGAUAUGUGCUACUGAACGUGUAGGCUCAGGCCACGCUAUGGGCAUCUCUACUACCCAUAUUUUGGCUGUGUCCCCCCCCCCAUGCUGUACCCCCUACCCAUGUUGGCUGUACCUUUAUACGCGUCCCUCUACCCGUUUUGGCUGUACCCCCUUCCCCCUAGCACUGUACCUCUACCCAUGGUGGCCAUAUCCCUACCCAUGUAAACUGUUAUCCUUUCACGUUGUUCCUUUCUCACGCUGUACAACCCUUGCAACUCUGUGCUACCAUGCUCUACCGCUCCUCGCAUGCUGUACCCUUCCCAAUAUGCUGUACCCCUCCAAUAUUGCUUCCCCUCUCCAACGUUGUACCCCCUAUUUGUACCCUCACCCUGUACCCCUCCUACCAGUUUAUUUCGUCUCAUCACAUUCCACGACAACAAUCAACCCUCGGCAAUCAAUGUUUACAAAGUGGUUAGGGAACUGUGUGUGUGUAAGCGACCACUGUUCGUAUAAGCGAGCCCUGUUCGUAUAAGCGAGAACUCUUUGUAUAAGUGAGCACUGUUCGUAUAAUCGAGCACUGUUCGUAUAAGCGAGCACUUCGUAUAAGCAAGCACUUCGUAUAAGCGAGCACUGUUCAUAUAAGCGACCACUGUUCGUAUAAGCGAACCCUGUUCGUAUAAGCGAGAACUGUUCGUAUAAGCGAGCCCUGUUCGUAUAAGCGAGCACUGUUCGUAUAAGCGAGAACUGUUCGUAUAAGCGAGCCCUGUUCGUAUAAGCGAGCACUGUUCGUAUAAGCGGGCGCUGUCAGUAUAAACGAGCACUCUGCCUUCCCAGUCUUGUGAUAAGGAAUUAUAUGGCGAGAAUUGGCAAGCAAGUUCUGUAACUCAAGAACUUGGCGACACGAUACCAGUGGCGGGAUAAGUUUGGCGAAGCUGCGUCUGGCUGUGAUUCGCCAGAGGGUCACGUGGUGGCGAGGAGGCUGAGAGAGAGAUCGCCAAUGCCGGCUGAGGCAAUCCUGAGACCUGAGGUCUUUACCGAGGCCAAGAUGGCCGCUCUUGUUGAUAUGGUAGUGGGUGUUGGUAUUCCAGUGCUGUGUGGUACUGGUAUUGGUACUAGUGUGGUGUACGUGUGAUGUAUCAGAGCAGCACUAUUGCCUUACUGGUAUUGUCUUGUAGUAGUGUGGUAUUAUUGCUGAAAUAGUACUUGUACUGUAAUAAUGAGCUACUGGUGAGGUGCUAGUGCAGUACCAGUUCUGUAGCAGUGUUGUACCAGUUGUAAAGUAGUGCUGUACCACUUCUGCACUAAGUGUUGUACUGGUGCUUAACCAGUACUCGCAUAGUUGUGUAUGCUGGGGAUGAGCCACGACUCUUGGGUCCCGCCUCUUAACUCUUAAUCGCGCGGUGUAUAGACUUCAUACACAGAGCCUAUUGGGCUCUGUUAUAUCUGCAUUUAAAGCAACGCAUGGAGUCACUCCUCAACCCCUUCCAUGUUCACUAUUGCGAUACUGAAGAGAUUCUAAUAUCUUUAUGGCUCAUUUUGGCAUUUAGCUUCCGUCUGUGUCCCAUUGUUCCUGUACUUACCCUGCUAAAUAAUUAGUCCUUGACUACCCUGUUUAUUCCGAGUAUUUUAUAUGUGGUAGUCAUGUCUCCCUCCCUGUUUCGUUUCUCUCUUUCAGCGACGGGUAGAUAUAUAACACCUGUUUCCACUAAAGUUGUACCUUUCAGUUCUGGGACUGGUCUGGUGGCGUCUGAACUUUCUCCGGUUUGUUCCAGAGAUAAGGACUGUACGUUGGUGUCGCGUGUUCCAGAACUGAUCUGAACAACGACUCUUUGUUCACGUUCACAAAGGCAGUUCUUAGCCAACUUGAUCGGUGUGGUACUAGUUCUGUAGCCUUGCGUGGUACUAUAUAGUUCUGUACCGUGGGUGGUACCGUGGGUGGUACUAGUUCUGUACCGUGGGUGGUACCCUGGGUGGUACUAGUUCUGUACCGUGGGUGGUACUGUGGGUGGUACUAGUUCUGUACCCUGGGUGGUACCGUGGUUGAUGCUAGUUCUGUACCCUGGGUGGUACUAGUUCUGUACCCUGAGGGUACCCUGGGUAGUACUAGUUCUGUACCCAGGGUGGUACCGUGCGUUGUACUACUUCUGUACCCUGGGUGGUACCCUGCGUUGUACUACUUCUGUACCCUGGGUGGUACCCUGCGUUGUACUAGUUCUGUACCCAGUAGUUCCCACCCUGGCAUUACAAGGCACAAGUGGACCUCAUCUCUGUGUUUCUCGUGAUGGAUUUACUAUGUUAAUGAUGUUUUGACCUGACGCCGGAGUGAUGUGUGGCCGAGGCUAUUGAACCUGACGGCUGUUGUCUUAAUGGUCAGGUCAGGUGUUGGGUAGUUUGUUGCUGGUGCCACUGAGACUGUUAACUGGUGCCACUGAGGCCUAAUGGGUGCCACUGAUUUAGACUGUUAACUGGUGCCACUGAGACCUAAUGGGUGCCACUGAUUUAAACUGUUGACUGGUGCCACUGAGACUGUUAACUGGUGCCACUGAGACCUAAUGGAUGCCACUGAUUUAAACUGUUGACUGGUGCCACUGAGACUGUUAACUGGUGCCACUGAGACCUAAUGGGUGCCACUGAUUUAGACUGUUAACAGGUGCUACUGGGACUGUUAACUGGUGCCACUGAGACCUAAUGGGUGCCACUGAUUUAGACUGUUAACUGGUGCUACUGAGACCUAAUGAGUGCCACUGAGUUAGACUGUUAACUGAUGCCUCUGGUGGCAGGGAUGCAACUGAGACUGUUAGCGAUCAACUGGAAAAGGAAUUUGUUGGAGUGAAAGGGCAAGAUAUAUGAGGAUGUGUUGUCGCGUUACUAAUGUGGGAAAAUGUUAAAUUGAACAGAGAAAAUUUUUAAGCAUAUCUCACCCCCGACUUCGGGGACUCCACCCCCACCCCAAAAGAAGCACCCCACCCCAGGAACCCCACCCCCAGGAACCCCACCCCAAAGGGAACCCCUACCCCAAGAAGCAACACUACUUAAGGGUGGCGUCUUCGGUGGCAAACUAAGGUUUCCCAUACACCAAACGGCAGCAUCGAACCCCUUCCCCUUACCCAUUCCUUUCUCUCACUACCUCUCUCUCCUUCUCUCACUAUCUCACUACCUCCCUCUCCUUCUCUCACCACUCUUUCUCCCUCGACAAGGCCAGUUUGUUUAUCUUUUCAACGAGUUAAAUUUUGCAUGAUCUCUCUGCCAGUGAGAGAGACACUCCCUCCCUCUCUCAUUCCCUCACCUAGGCAUCGCCUCUCCUCCCAGCCCCAUUCCUACCCUUCCCCAUCACCGCAAAAUUAGCCUUUGUUUCAGCUUUCCUCCAUUACCAUUUCCAAUCUCCCGUCACCAAGACCUUUGUCCUAUCCUCUCUCCUCCGCUAGCCUCGUGCUGCUCACCGCCCGGCCUCUGAGCGUGGGCGUGUGGGCGGGCUUCCAAGAUGAUGUGCGGGGUCGGGCGUGAUGGUAAAGUGCGACCAGCACGUAGCGUCAAGCAUCGUCGCUCUCUCACCACCUCCCUGGGGCUCGAACCCA